Non-coding RNA from Pelobates cultripes (western spadefoot toad), 966 nucleotides. NCBI's taxonomy places the organism in Eukaryota, Metazoa, Chordata, Amphibia, Anura, Pelobatidae. The record is from the annotation of a GenBank genome assembly.
CCCCAUCCCAGACACACGAAUGUUGCAGAAACUGUCUUUCUACAUUACACAGAACAACUACAAUCAGCUUGGCUAUCAGUUACAGGGUGAGAGCUGGGUUAACCAGGUUAUAAGUUUGUGAGCUGCAGUAGUUAUGGUGCUUAAAGUGCCCCUUGAAAUAGAAUAUUAAGUGAAUAAUAUGUUUAGACAAUACUACAACUUUUCUUUGAAUGAAUUGUACAGAAUCUGCCGUAAUAAUUUGCAUUGGCUUAGUUUCUUAAAAGGCAAACAAAGACUUUAUAAAUUUAGCAUGGCGGGCUGAGUGUAAUAUAGACAGUAACACUGGGAGUGCCUAGAUAAAUGUAUACAGUUAUACUGCCAUCCUCUGGUUUCCUGCAAUGCUGUGAAACUUGUGGUUGUCCUUGUUUGGUCUACAAAUUUAGGAGCACACAGUAGCCUAAUGGCAGCUAACCUUGGCACUUGAGAUCUUCUGUGCUACAGAUGUUUGUGAACGACUUUUCCCAUGAUGCACAGCCAGUCCACAACAUCUGCAAUGACAGGGUCAGUGCUGUAGUCGCUGAGAGAUUGCCCUCUGGUUAAGAUGCACAUCUGCAACGAUGUAACAGGGCACAGAAAAAAAGCAGGAACACAGUGUCUAAAAGUUCGCUUAUUUGGAAAUCGUACUCCUUUCAACGGUUCUGUUAUCAGAUGAAGCAUUUCCUUCAUCAGCGCUAAUAUCCAUAUAGUUAAACAAUGGAUGCGUUUCCUAUAAUUUCCAAAUAGGACGUGAAAGGCUCUCAGCUUUAAGAGCAGAGGAUGCUGUAAUAGGGCAAUGGGAAGUGACUGAGUCACUGAAAUGUCUCUUUCAUUCCAGAGAUUUAAAACAUUAAAAAAAGAGAGAGAAAAAAGGGAAAGAGGAACAGACAAGACUGAUGGAUGGGGAGGGAAGGAGGUGAGCAUGAGAUCUAAUUAAAUGGGAGUUUCCCA